CAGCGCCGGGUAAUACAGAGGGUGCGAGCGUUAAUCGGAUUUACUGGGCGUAAAGCGUGCGUAGGCGGCUUCUUAAGUCGGAUGUGAAAUCCCUGAGCUUAACUUAGGAAUUGCAUUCGAUACUGGGAAGCUAGAGUAUGGGAGAGGAUGGUAGAAUUCCAGGUGUAGCGGUGAAAUGCGUAGAGAUCUGGAGGAAUACCGAUGGCGAAGGCAGCCAUCUGGCCUAAUACUGACGCUGAGGUACGAAAGCAUGGGGAGCAAACAGGAUUAGAUACCCCAGUAGUCCCUGUCUCUUAUACAC
Molecule: ribosomal RNA, 301 nt
Filed under: uncultured bacterium
Lineage: Bacteria
Description: partial 16S ribosomal RNA
Rfam family: Bacterial small subunit ribosomal RNA
Source: RNAcentral